Molecule: non-coding RNA, 100 nt
Organism: Pelobates cultripes (western spadefoot toad)
Lineage: Eukaryota; Metazoa; Chordata; Amphibia; Anura; Pelobatidae
Source: the annotation of a GenBank genome assembly
AUCUCACAAUGUAUCUUUUUUGUCACGUUUUCCUAACAUUCAUGCAAUAUGAUGCAUGAAUGUUGGGAAAACGUGACAAAAAGGAUAUAUUGUGAGAUUA